CCCUAGUUAGCUCAGUUGGUAGAGCGCUCGACUGGAAAUGGAGGGGUCCCAGGUUCGACACCCGGACCAGGCG
Ixodes scapularis (black-legged tick) is the source of this 73-nucleotide non-coding RNA. NCBI's taxonomy places the organism in Eukaryota, Metazoa, Arthropoda, Arachnida, Ixodida, Ixodidae. The record is from Rfam.